GGAUCCUCCGGAACCACAAGAAUCCUUAGUUAGAA
RNAcentral lists this transfer RNA (35 nucleotides) under Thymophylla pentachaeta. RNAcentral describes it as "partial tRNA-Ala". The record is from RNAcentral. Lineage: Eukaryota; Viridiplantae; Streptophyta; Magnoliopsida; Asterales; Asteraceae.